GUAUCAUGGCUCAGGACGAACGCUGGCGGCGUGCUUAACACAUGCAAGUCGAACGAGAAUCUACGGAUCGAGGAUUCGUCCAAGAGAAGUAGAGGACAGUGGCGGACGGGUGAGUAACGCGUGAGGAACCUGCCUUCAGAGGGGACAACAGUUGGAAACGACUGCUAAUACCGCAUGACACAUUGGGUCGCAUGGCCUUGAUGUCAAGAUUUAUCGCUGAAAGAUGG
This 227-nucleotide ribosomal RNA is filed under the name uncultured bacterium. RNAcentral's name for it is "partial 16S ribosomal RNA". It matches the Rfam family "Bacterial small subunit ribosomal RNA", at positions 14 to 228 of the family's 1533-position model. The record is from RNAcentral.